GGCGAACGCUGGCGGCAGGCCUAACACAUGCAAGUCGAGCGCUCGUAGCAAUACGAGAGCGGCAGACGGGAGAGUAACACGUGGGAACGUACCCUUUGGUUCGGGAUAACACAGGGAAACCUGUGCUAAUACCGAAUAAGCCCUUACGGGGAAAGAUUUAUCGCCGAAGGAUCGGCCCGCGUCUGAUUAGCUAGUUGGUGGGGUAACGGCUCACCAAGGCGACGAUCAGUAGCUGGUCGAGAGGAUGACCAGCCUCAUUGGGACUGAGACACGGCCCAAACUCCUACGGGAGGCAGCAGUGGGAAUCUUGCGCAAUGGGCGAAAGCCUGACGCAGCAACGCCGCGUGAGUGAUGAAGGCCUU
This 362-nucleotide ribosomal RNA is filed under the name uncultured bacterium. Its description in RNAcentral is "bacterial SSU rRNA". It matches the Rfam family "Bacterial small subunit ribosomal RNA", at positions 28 to 418 of the family's 1533-position model. The record is from RNAcentral.